UUAAUGGAUCAGAAAAAAGAGGUCGGGGACUGAGAUUUCUUAAUUAAACAUGGACAAUGAGACACUACCCAGUUAUCUAAAUUGGAGUGCCAUAAAGGUUUUGCAGGUUUGGAAGUAUAAGGACUGUUGCAAAGGAAGCGUAUUUUGUGAUGAACUUGAUGAAAAGAUAAAUUUUGGCAAAGCGAGGGAAGAAGAGUCAAAGACUUCAUGGGGCAUGGGUCUUGCCAUUAGUGAGUCAGCGAGGUUGCGUGCUUCGUUUAUUAAGAAAAAAUGUUCUGGUCAAAAUAUCAAAUUCUUCCGCCAUCUGCUUCGAACUGCAAAUUCUGUGCUAUGAAAAGGAAUGACCAUACUCGUGCGAUUGAAAUGAUCCAAAAUGAUUCAGAGUUGUACAGUUUAGUUUUGGUGCUCUCACCUCUUUUUGAUGUUGAAGAGAGAUGUCCACGCUCUUCAAUUUGUAGGGGACAUGAUUUGGAAAUGAAAGCAUAUGACAUCUUAUAAGCAUGACAAGGUUGACAUGGAUAGUAGCGAGUCGUAUAAUUGCUACGCGAUACGUUGUACCCUUAAGGCACUUGGUAAGUCUUCAGAAGAUAAAAUUCUGGUCAUUUUUGGUUGCAAGAUGACACACGUACACAUAUGACAUACUUUGUAUCCUUUUUAAUAGCUACUCUUAUUUUAUUUUAUAAAUUGUUUUGUUAGUUGAUUCACUCUUUCCAAUCUACAUAUCAAGUUGUAAUAUAUUAAUAACAAAGAUUACAUAUAUGUUUUACGCAUUUCUUAGCUUUAAAAUUUUAAUUGAAAAA
Molecule: long non-coding RNA, 800 nt
Organism: Erigeron canadensis
Lineage: Eukaryota; Viridiplantae; Streptophyta; Magnoliopsida; Asterales; Asteraceae
Exons: 2
Source: RefSeq, a predicted model, not a curated record